Molecule: ribosomal RNA, 430 nt
Filed under: uncultured bacterium
Lineage: Bacteria
Description: bacterial SSU rRNA
Rfam family: Bacterial small subunit ribosomal RNA
Source: RNAcentral
UGGGGAAUAUUGCACAAUGGACGCAAGUCUGAUGCAGCGAUGCCGCGUGAGUGAAGAAGGCUCUUGGGUCGUAAAGCUCUUUUAAGAGGGAAGAAGUGAUUGUUUGUUAACACCAGACAGCAUUGACGGUACCUUUAGAAUAAGCACCGGCUAAUUCCGUGCCAGCAGCCGCGGUAAUACGGGAGGUGCAAGCGUUAUUCGGAAUAACUGGGCGUAAAGCGCGCGUAGACGGUUUUGUAAGUCGGAUGUGAAAUCCCCAAGCUUAACUUGGGAACUGCAUUCGAAACUGCGAAUCUUGAAUGCUUCAGAGGUUGGUGAAAUUUCAGGUGUAGGAGUGAAAUCCGUAGAUAUCUGAAGGAACACCGGUGGCGAAGGCGGCCAACUGGGAAUGCAUUGACGUUGAGGUGCGAAAGCGUGGGGAGCAAACAGG